GGAAUCUUAGACAAUGGGGGCAACCCUGAUCUAGCCAUGCCGCGUGAGUGAUGAAGGCCUUAGGGUUGUAAAGCUCUUUCAGCUGGGAAGAUAAUGACGGUACCAGCAGAAGAAGCCCCGGCUAACUCCGUGCCAGCAGCCGCGGUAAUACGGAGGGGGCUAGCGUUGUUCGGAAUUACUGGGCGUAAAGCGCACGUAGGCGGACUGGAAAGUCAGAGGUGAAAUCCCAGGGCUCAACCUUGGAACUGCCUUUGAAACUAUCAGUCUGGAGUUCGAGAGAGGUGAGUGGAAUUCCGAGUGUAGAGGUGAAAUUCGUAGAUAUUCGGAGGAACACCAGUGGCGAAGGCGGCUCACUGGCUCGAUACUGACGCUGAGGUGCGAAAGCGUGGGGAGCAAACAGGAUUAGAUACCCGAG
RNAcentral lists this ribosomal RNA (415 nucleotides) under uncultured Paracoccus sp. Its description in RNAcentral is "bacterial SSU rRNA". It matches the Rfam family "Bacterial small subunit ribosomal RNA", at positions 358 to 790 of the family's 1533-position model. The record is from RNAcentral. Lineage: Bacteria; Pseudomonadati; Pseudomonadota; Alphaproteobacteria; Rhodobacterales; Paracoccaceae.